AUUGAACGCUGGCGGCAGGCCUAACACAUGCAAGUCGAGCGGUAGGGAGAAGCUUGCUUCUCUUGAGAGCGGCGGACGGGUGAGUAAUGCCUAGGAAUCUGCCUGGUAGUGGGGGAUAACGUUCGGAAACGGACGCUAAUACCGCAUACGUCCUACGGGAGAAAGCAGGGGACCUUCGGGCCUUGCGCUAUCAGAUGAGCCUAGGUCGGAUUAGCUAGUUGGUGGGGUAAUGGCUCACCAAGGCGACGAUCCGUAACUGGUCUGAGAGGAUGAUCAGUCACACUGGAACUGAGACACGGUCCAGACUCCUACGGGAGGCAGCAGUGGGGAAUAUUGGACAAUGGGCGAAAGCCUGAUCCAGCCAUGCCGCGUGUGUGAAGAAGGUCUUCGGAUUGUAAAGCACUUUAAGUUGGGAGGAAGGGCAGUAAAUUAAUACUUUGCUGUUUUGACGUUACCGACAGAAUAAGCACCGGCUAACUCUGUG
Molecule: ribosomal RNA, 484 nt
Filed under: uncultured bacterium
Lineage: Bacteria
Description: partial 16S ribosomal RNA
Rfam family: Bacterial small subunit ribosomal RNA
Source: RNAcentral